AUGCUUAAAAGAUUCAAGCUAAGUGAUGUCAAGCCGGCUUCUACACCAAUGCCUACCAAGUGCCAACUUGACAUCGAUCCCAAUGGUAAAACGGUGGAUCAAAAGGUAUAUCGCUCCAUGAUUGGCUCCUUGCUUUACCUUUGUGCAUCUAGACCGGAUAUCAUGUUGAGUGUGGGGAUGUGUGCACGUUUUCAAGCCGCACCAAAGGAAAGUCACUUUGUGGCGGUCAAGCGAAUCUUUCGAUAUUUGGCUCAUACCCCAAACUUUGGCUUAUGGUACCCAAGAGGAGCAAACUUCAAGCUUGAAGGUUUCACGGAUUUCGAUUGGGCGGGGGACAAAGUGGAUAGGAAGUCCACUUCCGGAGGGUGCCAAUUUCUUGGUUGCUCCUUGGUAAGUUGGUCUUCCAAGAAGCAAAGUUGUGUGUCUCUCUCGUCCACCGAAGCGGAGUAUGUGGCAGCCGGUAGUUGUUGUGCUCAACUCCUAUGGAUGAGGCAAACUUUAAAGGAGUACGGUGUCAUUUGUGACAAAGUGCCUCUUUGGUGUGAUAAUGAAAGUGCCAUCAAGAUUUCUCUCAACCCGGUGCAACACUUCAAGACGAAGCACAUUGAGAUUCGGUAUCACUUCAUUCGGGAUCACAUUAGGCGAGGGGAGAUCGAGCUCAAGUAUGUCAACACUCAUGAUAACCUUGCAGAUAUUUUCACGAAGCCCUUGGAGGAAGCAAGAUUUCGCGAGUUAAGGCAUGAGCUAAAUAUCAUUGAUUUGAGCAAUGUGACUUGA
Molecule: ribosomal RNA, 777 nt
Filed under: Triticum aestivum (bread wheat)
Lineage: Eukaryota; Viridiplantae; Streptophyta; Magnoliopsida; Poales; Poaceae
Description: partial small subunit ribosomal RNA
Source: RNAcentral